AUGCCUCCGCCGUCACUGCUGCGCCCUCCGCUCUCGCUGCUCCUCCGCCGCUCCCAGACCCCAUCCCCUCUCCGACGAAUCCCCAGCUUCACCCCAUCCCCUCUGCUCGUCCCGCCCAAGCGGCGGCACCUCUCCGCCGCCGCCGCGCAGCUCGCCGACCCGCUCUCCGCCGCAGGUUCGUAUUCUUUAUUUUCCUCCUUCAAUAACGCGUGCCGGACGCGCGACGUCGUGACCGGGAUUUGGUUUGCAGGGGCGGAGGAAGCGGUGGCGGGCUUCGUCACAGGCAAGCGUAAGGCCACCGAGGUAGCCCACGCGGUGUGGAGGAGUAUCGUUCAGAAAGGAGAUGCAGUGGUUGAUGCCACCUGUGGGAACGGAAAUGAUACGUUUGCUCUGCUUAAGAUGGUGUCCGAUGACACCGGGCGAGGGCGUGUUUACGGGAUGGACAUCCAAGAUUCUGCGAUCGAUAGCACUUCCUCUUUUCUGAAAAUGGCCGUCGACAGUCGCGAGAUGGAGCUAGUCAAGUUGUUUGCAAUGUGUCACAGUAGAAUGGAGGAUAUUGUUCCAAAAGAUUCUCCUGUCAGGCUUGUAGCAUUCAAUCUGGGCUACCUUCCAGGAGGAGAUAAAAAAAUAAUCACAGUACCUGAGACAACUGAGCUGGCACUACAAGCUGCCAGCAGAAUUGUUGGCUCAGGGGGACUCAUAAGUGUCCUUGUCUACAUUGGGCAUCUGGGUGGGAGGGAUGAACUCGAUAUUGUUGAAUCAUUCGCGUCAAGGUUGCCUGUUGAUACAUGGGUGAGCUGCAAGUUUGAAAUGAUUAACAGGCCAGUUGCUCCAGUACUAGUUCUCCUGCACAAGAAAUAA
Molecule: ribosomal RNA, 861 nt
Filed under: Triticum aestivum (bread wheat)
Lineage: Eukaryota; Viridiplantae; Streptophyta; Magnoliopsida; Poales; Poaceae
Description: partial small subunit ribosomal RNA
Source: RNAcentral